This 280-nucleotide ribosomal RNA is filed under the name uncultured bacterium. RNAcentral's name for it is "partial 16S ribosomal RNA". It matches the Rfam family "Bacterial small subunit ribosomal RNA", at positions 793 to 1055 of the family's 1533-position model. The record is from RNAcentral.
GUCCAUGCUGUAAACGAUGAAUGUUAGAUAUCGGAAUAAGUAAAUUAAUUCGGUUUCACAGCUAACGCGAAAACAUUCCGCCUGGGGACUACGGUCGCAAGAUUAAAACUUAAAGGAAUUGACGGAAAUCUACACAAGCGGUGGAACAUGUGGUUUUAAUUCGAUACAACGCGCAAAACCUUACCAGUCUUGGAAAUAUAAAUAAAAUAAAGUAAAAAUUAAAAUUUUAAUUAAGAUUAAAAUAAAAUAAAGUUUAAUACAGGUGUUGCAUGGCUGUCGU